UUGCCCUCUGUGCUGGCUCUCUUGCAGUGCACGUCGGUGACUUUCUCAAUCCAACACCCUUGUGAACCUUUGGCCUCUUGCUAGCUUCACGGCUGGCAGAGGAUUUCUACAUACAAACUCGAAUGUAAUGAAACUCUUGUUGUGCACAAGCACUACUAAUACAACUUUCAACAACGGAUCUCUUGGCUCUCGCAUCGAUGAAGAACGCAGCGAAAUGCGAUAAGUAAUGUGAAUUGCAGAAUUCAGUGAAUCAUCGAAUCUUUGAACGCACCUUGCACCCUUUGGCAUUCUGAAGGGUAUGCUCGUUUGAGUGUCAUUGUACUCUCACACUCCCGAUCUUUGUAUUGGGAGCGGUGGACUUGGGUUUGCUGCUUCACCGCAGCUUACCUCAAAUAUGUUAGUGCAACUCUUGGUUGGACAUAAUACGGCGUGAUAAGUGUUCUUUCGCCGGUGCCUCGCAAAGAGGGUGGCCGAUCGGGGGGUUGUGCUUCAAACCGUCCGUCUUUGGACAAUAUCUGACAACUUGACCUCAAAUCGAGUAAGACUACCCGCUGAACUUAAGCAUAUCAAUAAGCGGAGGAA
RNAcentral lists this ribosomal RNA (582 nucleotides) under uncultured fungus. RNAcentral describes it as "eukaryotic LSU rRNA". The stretch from base 163 to 316 matches the Rfam family "5.8S ribosomal RNA". The record is from RNAcentral. RNAcentral also lists the same sequence under 1 other name. Lineage: Eukaryota; Fungi.